GGGGGGGGGUGCUGCGGGGACCCGGGACCUACAAGUGUGGCCACACCUGCAGCAUAUCGAUUCUCACGUGAGGGGUCGAACUGGAGCUGUAGCUGCCGGCAGCAACGCUAGAUCCUUAACCCACUGAGUGAGGCCAAGAAUCGAACCUGUGUCCUCAUGGAUCCUAGUCAGAUUCAUUUCCCCUGCGCCACGACGGAAACUCCUGGACUGCUCUAGAAGGUUUCGGGCACCUACCCGGUGACUUCUGGAAUCAUCCUAGGCUUAGAGAAGGGCGACUGUAGCUUUGGCAGCUAACCACAGAGAUGUCCCUAAACAUGAAGAAACAUGGAACCCGAACUAUGUCCCCCAAGUCACAACUAUGGUUGUUCUCGUCAGUGUCUGUCUCAAGCAAACUGGUCACUUAGGCGUUUAUUUUUUCACCCAUUUUCUGUGUAAGUAGGUACUCAUUGGUGAAGUUCAAAUAAAACUAGAGGAACUAGAUAACAAAACUCAAAAAUCCGUAAGAUUUACCUUUGAGAGCCUCUCUUCAGCUUAGACUAGGGGGUCAGCGACCUACGUCCUGUGGGUUGUCUGUCUUUUCCCUCCUCUGUUUUUGUUUAGCUCAUGAUAUAGGGAUGGUUUUUACAUUUUUUUUUUUAAAGAAAUGUUGGACAAAAGAAACAAAAGGAACAGACUAUCUUGUGCCACAUGAAAAUGAUACAACGUUCUAACUGCAAUGUUUUGGAAGGGUUAUCAGAACACAGCUAUGCCCAUUUAUUUACAUUGUCUAAGGCUGCUUUGGCUACAGUAGCAAAGUUGAGUAGAUGCUACAGAGACCACAUGGCUCCCAGCCUGAAAUAUUUACUCUCUGGGCCUUUAAGAGAAAAUGUGCCUACCCUUGGUCCAGUGGAAGAUUGACAUGCAAACAAAUAAUUACUGCCUUGCGGCCUGUAUGUAACAUGCUAGACUUGCAGACAAGGGUAACUGGGAGCAGGGAGGCAGGACUUGUGCUCAUAACUAUUUCUGGGUUGGUCGGGGAAGGUUUGGUGGACAGGUCCCCUCGAGGGGAAGUAGGGGCUUUCCUGUGAUGGGAGGUGUUCCAGAAAAACUGUUCACAGCACUUGUUAAAGACGGGCGAGGGUCCAUCUCUUUCUACAGGUUUUUUUUUUUUUUUUUUUUUAAACAAUUUAAGAAUUGUGGGCAGACAGGGCAGCCCACGCAAAACCACAGGGGAGAACAAUAAAACAGCAAGAACACAACACAGGCGUGUUGGUGGACACCAUAGGUGUCUAAGGUGUGUGGCUGGAAAUGAGGAUAAACACACAUCCCCCACUGGCAGAAGGAUGACCAAGGACCUUCACGCAGAAGCAGUCGGAGGCUGACUCAGUACAGGUUAAAAGACUCACCAAAACAAGGGUACUGAACCAAGUGGCUCUCAGGUGGCCAUCUCCGUCAAAAACAGCUCAUGGAUAGUGGUCAAAGGAGGAGACUCGACGGCCUUUUCUUUUUCCUUCAUUUUUUUCAAAGAAGCCAAACGAGAACCUUGAGCGGCUGCUCCAGACAACAGUGUUCAUCGCAGGACUUGCCAAGACUGGGUGGAGAGGUCUUUACACCUAAGUCGCUCAGCUCCUCCUUUGGUAGCCUCGGUCCUGAGCGUGAACGUGAGGAUGCUGUGGCCUUUUGCCCUCGGCAUCACUGGCAUCACUACAGACGGUGCGGUGCGCACUGUCCGCAGCAAGACCUCGCAAAUGGAGGAAAAGUCAAGUGAGAGACGGUCCGCGGGGCCUUCUCUCGCCUGCCACAAACUGGCGUCAUUUUGGCUGCCAUCCCAGGGAGGAAAAGCCAGCCUCCAGAAACAGGGACGGGGGCAAUCGGGAGCUGACGUGAGAAAACUGACGUUGCUGUCCUCAGAAUGGGACAGGAAAACUGAGCAGGAAUUAACACGAGCGAAGAGUCGGCGGGAGUGCUUUUAGAGGAAGUCAAUCUAUGGGCGUUUCCAAGAAAGGAAGACGGAAUUCAGCGGGGCGCAUCAGAAAGAAAAAGAAUUAUGUCCACCACUCUCCCAACUGAUCUGCUAAAUGCAAAGACGCACACACCCCCCCUUCUUGUUUUAUCGAUUCCUGCAUCAGUGGGCACGUUUGAUGAGGGUUUGUGUUCUUUCAUUUAUGUUCUAUUACUCCAACUCCAACCACGUGUGCACAGGCGGGCACACACGUGGACACACACUCUUGUGUGAGCAUGUGCUACCCCCCACACACACACACACCCUGCAGCCUAUAAUCUUCCCCUACGCCCCUAUCCUGUUGAUCUUUCUUCAUUUAAAAAUUAUCGGCAAAGAAUUUAUUCAUUUGGGAGAAUUCCAGGCACUACACUUACGUUCAGUUCCAAUGAAAUGGGAUCCAGACUUUGCAAACUCUGCUGUUUUGCAGAUAAAACACAAAAGCGGGACCUCGUUGUUUGGAGACAUGGCCUUUUGUUUCUAAGCCAUUUUAAGCUUGCUUGGGAAGGCUCAUAACUGGGGCCGAACAUUUUUCACCACAUCUAUUUCAGGAGGGUUUUUAGUUAAGAAUAAUGAAUUUAUCUCUAAACAGAUGGAAGAGUUUUACAAAGCUAGAAAAGACACUUUUGCUAAUAUCCCCUAUAGGCUGGUCUUAAUCCUCUCAUUGUUCAAAAUGCUUGGUCUAUGAGAGACUUA
Molecule: long non-coding RNA, 2674 nt
Filed under: Sus scrofa (pig)
Lineage: Eukaryota; Metazoa; Chordata; Mammalia; Artiodactyla; Suidae
Description: lncRNA (ENSSSCG00060026586.1)
Source: RNAcentral